This 2566-nucleotide long non-coding RNA is filed under the name Malus domestica (apple). RNAcentral's name for it is "long non-coding RNA (MDOM_LNC006420)". The record is from RNAcentral. Lineage: Eukaryota; Viridiplantae; Streptophyta; Magnoliopsida; Rosales; Rosaceae.
UUAUUUACAAGAUAUAUAAUAAAUUUACAUAAAUCCGCCUAGGCCGCCUAGGCGCUAGGCCCCCCGCCGCCCGACUAGCGCCUAUCGAUUUUUAGAACAUUGUAUUAUAUACGUGUUUGCAGUGGUGGAGUCAAAAUUUUCAAAUAAUGGUGCCUUAAUUUCAACAAAAAAAAAAUCAAUGGACAAUUUGUCGAGCACCUGGUGGGUACUUUCCGAUUCCUACCAACAUUUACCAAAAGCUUACACGAAUGUAUGUCGACAACUACUAUGACCAAUAAAGGCUUGUCAAGGGCAGCAGUGAGAAACCAUCGAGUAAUGUUGAAGACUGCCAAUGACACACCCCGACCUGGAAUGUCCACUUGGACUCCAAAUCGAGUUGUGCUGGCCGACACCUGAAGGGUGACGAAGCCAUAAAGUGUAGUGAUGUGGAAGGUUUGGGUAAAUUUAAACCUAAAGUGCCUAAUCAAGAGAGUGUGCAGGUGAGCGGGUUUGAACCCUAUUCACACGUGAUGUCAGAGCAUAAGACAGUAUAGUAAUAAGUUGAGGGUUACACCACUGAAGGUAACCAUCUCCUGAGAUUUGCCAAAAUCCUCGUAUAUGCGUAAACACCGCUACUAAACCUGGAGGGGCAAAAAACAAUUUGAGUGGGUCAGUAAAACAAUACUUAUACGAAAACCUUUACUUUUGAAUAUACUAACCCCUCACCAUAAAACAAGUAUAGUUUCCUCAAAACAUACUACGUAAGUAUGUAAUCAAAUAUAACAUCAAUAUAACCAGAAAUAUGCCAAGUCAUGAUAUAUCAAAUGCCACAAUAAUCAUGUGAUAAUCAAUAUAACUAAGUGCUCAUCCAUCUAAGCUGACACACAAGUUCGAACAGAUGGUUUUUGACACGAACAGGACUGGGUGUAAUCAAUAUGCUCUAGUACUACGAUCACGUGAAGACUAGUGCAAAAGCACAUCACAUACAAGUCGGAUCGCCUAAUGCAAUCUACCCGACAAGACUGGCACCUAAACUUGGAUCCAAGGUGAGCGAACGGUGCAGAUGUGAACAUACACGUGAAGGACUGGCCCUGGCCCUGAGGCGAGUACUAACACCGGGUGCAGCAAGAUGAGCAUGUACACAAGCACGUAUGAAUGCCAUGACAGUAAUAUCACAACCAUAUAGCAGCAUUUAUCACAUUUCAUAUCACAAUAUCAAAUACUUGGCAAUAUAAGCGUAAAAGUGAAGUAAAUACGCAUUUAUGGAAACUAUAAUAUGUAUAGGUAUAAAAACAAACUGCCCACUCAUAGAUACUUCGCCGCUGACGAGCCACGCAACCUAGCGAAGAUGGAAACGCCAUUAAUAAUUGCCCCUAAGCACAUAAAGGUACAAUUAAUAAAACUAUACUAUAACAAUUGAAUUUGGAAAAAAAAGACGUCAAAAACGGAUUCAGAACGUCGAAUUACCAUAAGAAGGGUCCUACUUAAAUUUCCGAAAAGUCAACAAAAGUCAACAGGAUGAAUAUUCCCUGAAAGACGAAAUAUUCUCUGACGGAUGGAAAAUUCCCUAACGGAAUAUUUCAUCUGGGUUAAGGGUUAUUAGGUUGGGUUAGAUUAAUAGGUUGGACUUAAGGAUUUUAGGCCUAAAGGCCUAAACUAAAAGGUUUAAGAUUUAAAAUGCAUGCUUAAAGCCCAAAAGGAAAUGGCCAAAGGCCUUUAAUUAACCAAAUAAUAAUAAAGGGUUAGGUUGGGCUGCCCAGGGUCUUGGGCUUGGCAGGAACGGCCCGAAGGGUCUGGGUUUGGGUUGCAGCUCACCGGAGUUAAACGGAAGGGAAGGCCGGAUUCGGCCAAAAAACUGAACAACCUUUAAACGUUAAUAACUUCCUCGUUAUGCAACGAAAUCGAGUGAAACAAAAACGAAAGUUGUAGUUCUCGAAGAGACGAAGAGAAUGGUACCUCUCACGAUGUCUAACUCUCGGUGGUUUGGCCGGAAAACACCUCGAAAUCCGUCGGACUCGCCGGAAACUGGGUAAGAUUCAAAUGAGUAUAACUUCUUCAAUACUCAACGAAAUUGGGUGAAACAAAAAGGAAAGUUAUAGUACUCAGCGAGACAAAGAGAUUGAUUUGCAUGAUGGCCAACUCGCCGUGGUUUGGCCGGAAAUUGGCUCGAAAGGCACAUGUCAGACUUGAACUUCUCAAAACCGAGUUGUUUCACAUCAAAGCUUCCUCAAACCUUGACUAGAGACCCUAGGGAGUUGCGUAGAGGCUUUCCCGAGUCCUAAAACAUCGUGACUCGGUUGAAAACACGUCGAACUCAACUCGUCCGAGUUCGGACCUUCCAAGUUGGCGAGUCAAAACUCGUCCAUUCUUGGUUUGGUUGGUAUGGUUGUGUUCGUGAGGAUGAGAGGAGUAAAAUGGGGUUGGUUUCAAGCUCGAUCUAUGAGCUUUGAUGUUCGUUCAUGGCGUUGCAGAGGAAGAGAGAAUACGGGAGAGAAAGAGAUAGAAGAGAGAUAGAACCUUUUCUGAUAGAGGGGGACAGUAAAUAAAGAAGAGAUGGGAUAGGUGAGAGUGAAAUAAUGAAGAGAGG